GACGAACGCUGGCGGCGUGCUUAACACAUGCAAGUCGAACGGAAAGGCCCCUUUGGGGGUACUCGAGUGGCGCACGGGUGAGUAACACGUGAGUAACCUGCCCUUGACUUCGGGAUAACUUCAGGAAACUGGGGCUAAUACCGGAUAGGAAUCCUUGCUGCAUGGUGGGGGUUGGAAAGCUUCGGCGGUUUUGGAUGGACUCGCGGCUUAUCAGCUUGUUGGUGGGGUAGUGGCUUACCAAGGCUUUGACGGGUAGCCGGCCUGAGAGGGCGACCGGCCACCUUGGGACUGAGAUACGGCCCAGACUCCUACGGGAGGCAGCAGUGGGGAAUAUUGCACAAUGGGCGGAAGCCUGAUGCAGCAACGCCGCGUGCGGGAUGACGGCCUUCGGGUUGUAAACCGCUUUCAGCAGGGGCGAAGCUUGUGGUGACGGUACCUGCAGAAGAAGCACCGGCUAACUACGUG
Molecule: ribosomal RNA, 465 nt
Filed under: uncultured bacterium
Lineage: Bacteria
Description: partial 16S ribosomal RNA
Rfam family: Bacterial small subunit ribosomal RNA
Source: RNAcentral